Molecule: long non-coding RNA, 892 nt
Organism: Danio aesculapii
Lineage: Eukaryota; Metazoa; Chordata; Actinopteri; Cypriniformes; Danionidae
Exons: 3
Source: RefSeq, a predicted model, not a curated record
CAGCAAUGAUCAGGCAACAGUUAAGCAGGGUGGACGAACAACAGUGAGCUUGUUAAGUGGUAAGUCUAAGCUAAGCUAAGUUAGCUAGCUAUUCAAUGGGGUUUAUGCACAGCUAGUGCUUUUCCAUUUCAUAAGGUUCCUUUUACAGCAUUGAUGAUGUAAUGUAAUGAACUGUGUUUAUAUAUAAUACUGUACAUAAAUACUAAUAUUUGUUUGCUUCAUUUUUCAGAUCAAAGAAAACGUUUGCAGUAUUUUCCCACUAAAGAGGAGCAGUUUAUUGAGGCAGAUUUUGAUAAAGAGAAUGGGUGCCAUACAUCAGACCUCACAUUAAAUCAGGGAUGAAUCGAGAGAUGUCGUCCUCUGUUGCUGGUCUAUCUGUAUAAAUAAGAUGAAGAGCUCAUCCAGGAGUGCAAUUGUGGGAAUGCACAGAGAAUUGUUGUCUGUCAGAGGGAUGACCAACCAUGAGGACUUCUGCAUUGUCUUGGAGGAUAAGCGAGUCAUGGCUAGCUUGGAAAAUCUAGAAUUGCUGAACUAGAUUUAUACAAAUAUUCUCCAAAUAAAAAUCACUUACAAAGAAACGAAUAUUAAAUUUGACACAAAUUCACUGCUAAAACCUUUUGGGGAAAAUUUCAGUGCAUUGACUGAUUGAUUGUGUUCCUAAUAUUUUGAGAUAUGGCUUUUAUACUGGUUUUAGAUGUUAUGCAAUACACUAAUUCUGUCAAAUUUUGUCUAAAAUGUGACUGUUCCUAUAAAAGAAACAUUUGACAGAACAUUUUAUUUUCCAUGACAUGGAUAAAGGAAUUUUUAUCAGAGAUUAACAUUGCUGUAAAUUUUAUAUAGAUUUGUUUAACAUAUUGCACCAUUUUGUUAUCAGUGUAACAUGUAAUAAAAU